This 253-nucleotide ribosomal RNA is filed under the name uncultured bacterium. RNAcentral describes it as "partial 16S ribosomal RNA". It matches the Rfam family "Bacterial small subunit ribosomal RNA", at positions 524 to 776 of the family's 1533-position model. The record is from RNAcentral.
UACAUGUGGUGCAAGCGUUGUUCGGAAUUACUGGGCAUAAAGGGUGCGUAGGCGGUGUCGUCAGUCUGGGGUGAAAUCCUGCGGCCCAACCGUGGGACUGCCUCGGAUACUGCGAUGCUUGAGUGCGUGAGGGGUGAUCGGAACGCGUGGUGUAGAGGUGAAAUUCGUAGAUAUUCGGAAGAACACCAGUGGCGAAGGCGGCUCACUGGCCCGUUACCGACGCUCAGGCGCGAAAGCGUGGGGAGCAAACAGG